UACGUAGGUGGCAAGCGUUACUCGGAAUCACUAGGCGUAAAGCGCAGGUAGGAGGUUUGGUAAGUCUAUUGUGAAAGUUCCCGGCUUAACUGGGAGAGGUCAAUGGAAACUACCAGGCUGGAGUGCGGUAGAGGUAGCUGGAAUUCCCGGUGUAGCGGUGAAAUGCGUAGAUAUCGGGAGGAAUACCUAUGGCGAAAGCAGGCUACUGGACCGUCACUGACUCUGAUCUGCGAAAGCUAGGGGAGCAAACAGG
Molecule: ribosomal RNA, 253 nt
Filed under: uncultured bacterium
Lineage: Bacteria
Description: partial 16S ribosomal RNA
Rfam family: Bacterial small subunit ribosomal RNA
Source: RNAcentral